This 466-nucleotide ribosomal RNA is filed under the name uncultured Desulfovibrio sp. RNAcentral's name for it is "bacterial SSU rRNA". It matches the Rfam family "Bacterial small subunit ribosomal RNA", at positions 920 to 1382 of the family's 1533-position model. Lineage: Bacteria; Pseudomonadati; Thermodesulfobacteriota; Desulfovibrionia; Desulfovibrionales; Desulfovibrionaceae. The record is from RNAcentral.
CCCGCACAAGCGGUGGAGUAUGUGGUUUAAUUCGACGCAACGCGCAGAACCUUACCUAGGCUUGACAUCCCGGGAAUUUGCUGGAAACAGUGAAGUGCUUUCAUUAGAAAGAGCCCGGUGACAGGUGCUGCAUGGCUGUCGUCAGCUCGUGUCGUGAGAUGUUGGGUUAAGUCCCGCAACGAGCGCAACCCUCGCCUUUAGUUGCCAGCAUUCAGUUGGGCACUCUAAAGGGACUGCCGGUGUCAAACCGGAGGAAGGUGGGAUGACGUCAAGUCCUCAUGGCCUUUAUGUCUAGGGCUACACACGUACUACAAUGGCAGGUACAAAGGGCAGCGACACAGCGAUGUGAUGCGAAUCCCGAAAAGCCUGUCUCAGUCCGGAUCGGAGUCUGCAACUCGACUCCGUGAAGUUGGAAUCGCUAGUAAUCGUGGAUCAGCAUGCCACGGUGAAUACGUUCCCGGGCCUU